RNAcentral lists this ribosomal RNA (403 nucleotides) under Verrucomicrobiota bacterium. Its description in RNAcentral is "Verrucomicrobia bacterium partial 16S ribosomal RNA". It matches the Rfam family "Bacterial small subunit ribosomal RNA", at positions 355 to 776 of the family's 1533-position model. Lineage: Bacteria; Pseudomonadati; Verrucomicrobiota. The record is from RNAcentral.
UGGGGAAUAUUGCACAAUGGAGGGAACUCUGAUGCAGCGACGCCGCGUGAACGAAGAAGGCUUUCGAGUCGUAAAGUUCUUUUAUAUGGGAAGAUAAUGACGGUACCAUAAGAAAAAGCCCCGGCUAACUACGUGCCAGCAGCCGCGGUAAUACGUAGGGGGCUAGCGUUGUCCGGAAUCACUGGGCGUAAAGGGUUCGCAGGCGGAAAUGCAAGUCAGGUGUAAAAGGCAGUAGCUUAACUACUGUAAGCAUUUGAAACUGCAUAUCUGGAGAAGAGUAGAGGUAAGUGGAAUUUUUAGUGUAGCGGUGAAAUGCGUAGAUAUUAAAAAGAAUACCGGUGGCGAAAGAGACUUAAUGGGCUCAUUCUGACGCUGAGGAACGAAAGCGUGGGUAGCAAACAGG